GGAGAUGACGCAACACAGCACAGCAGUUGCAAUGUGUACUGCACGCUGUGGGUCACUUAUGCCUGCAGCAAAAUAACCACUAAAGGGGUGAUUUAUUUCAUUUUACAGCCUGCAGUAAAGAAAAGAAAGAUUC
Long non-coding RNA from Sinocyclocheilus anshuiensis, 133 nucleotides. RefSeq lists it as uncharacterized. The transcript has 3 exons. The record is from RefSeq and is a predicted model, not a curated record. Lineage: Eukaryota; Metazoa; Chordata; Actinopteri; Cypriniformes; Cyprinidae.